Long non-coding RNA from Physeter macrocephalus (sperm whale), 678 nucleotides. RefSeq lists it as uncharacterized. The record is from RefSeq and is a predicted model, not a curated record. The transcript is spliced from 3 exons. Lineage: Eukaryota; Metazoa; Chordata; Mammalia; Artiodactyla; Physeteridae.
GCUCUGGGAGUGCUCAGGUGCCUCCUAGGGGGUCCCCUGGAGGGAUACCCCUGGCGCUCUCUGUCUACCCAGGUACACGCUGAGUGACCUCCAGGUCCCUGGGUUGCUGCCGCCCCACCGUGAUGCAGUACCUCUCAGAGCGCUGUGAUAGCAUGGUUGUCUCACUGGUCCCGUCCCCAUCCAACAACCCCAGAAGGCAGAGGAGGGCGACCCUGAUGGAGAGGAGGUCGGGGGAAUACAACGGUGAGCAGAUAAGGCCCUGCCCUCCAGCUAUCACGGUGGUGGUAGUCCGAAUAACGGCCCCUCAAAGAUACCCACAUCCUAAUCCCUGGAACCUGUGUAUAUGUUACCUUACGUGGUAAAAGGGACUUUGCCGAUGUGAGUAAAUUAGGGAUCUUGAGGUGGGAGAUUAUCCUGGAUAAUCUGGGCCCAGCCUAAUCACAGCUCCUUUUAGGAGGGAGGCAAGAGGGUCAGAGUCAGAGAGAGAAGAUGUGAUGAUGGAAGCAGAGGUCACAGGGAAGAGGAGAUGCAGCCCUGCUGGCUUUGAAGAUGGAGGAAGGGGCCGCGAGCCAAGGAAUGCAGGCGGCCUCCAGAGGCUGGGAAAGGAGGGAUGAGGAUUCUCCCUGACAGCUUCCAGAAGAAACACGGCCCUGCAGCCCCAUGUGAGACUUCAGACUC